GUUGAAAAACCGUCUCUCUGGGCAUCGGUCUCUCAUUAACCGAUACGCAGAUUUGAAAUCUUCCGACCCGAACAGAGCGACGGAGAGGGAGGAAGAAUUCAAAAAGACGGCGUUGAUGGUCCAUGUGAUUGAAAACGAACACCGAUUCGAUUUACCUGGUACUAAAAUUCUAGAACAGGACAAUCGUCUGAACGCACUUCAAGUUCUUGAAAUGUGUCACAUUUUUUGUGACACCAAAACGGUUAACUAUAGAACCGACACAAGUAAUUUAAGUGUUGUUUACUCGGGUCUUCUGCACUCAAUCACGAACGGAGAAAGAUAGCAGAACAUCAUCACAGCACGCUGUGAUUCUCUGUUUCUGUUAAUGUUUCCGUCCUUUAUGUUCCAUCUUUUCGUUUGACGUCUCCACUCAUAGACAUUUUAAUUCAAACCUGUUUAGAUGUGCCUAGGUGAAAGCUGUGUAAGUUUGUGCUCCGUCCAAUGUUUUAAUUAUUGUAAAAACGAAUCAAGUCAUUAUGUCCGAAAUUUGUAUGUAUAAUUACAGUGUAAUGUUGUUAGCCGUUCCAUCAGUCCAUGUCCAAACCCACUUGACCUAAAAACAACUUUUGAUGUGAGUAAUUUUUUUUGUAUAACAAAUGACUUGACUACUCAAACUUUGUAUGUAAAUUGUAGUUUGCCCUGAAGAUGAGUGAAUAAACGCUCGAAACGUCGGCUUUAAUUAAAACAGUUGUUUUAUAAGCAACCCGAGGACCGAAAAUACGCCAGCAAUCGCUAUCAAAUUAUCAAAGACGGUCGUUAUUUUAUCAAUAUCAUCAAUGGCGUCAACCAACAGCAGUACUACAACUUUCUACAACAGUCUUCCACCAUCACAACGCACACUAUUCAAACAGUACGCACAAACAGUCAAGAAGAUGUGCGCCCAAAAAUCGAGGAAAGAAUUCCUGCGGCAAUGUCGCCGGCAAGGUGUACGACCAGCGCACAUACAGAACACUUUUCGAUGCACUCACUCGCUGCUAGAGGAUGCCAGUCCGUACCGAGGCAAGCUGGAAAAAGCUAUGGAGCUCUUCACGCGCACAAUUCUCAACACCGAGAUAAAAGACAGCUUCUACAAAAUGCAGCGGCUGGAAAGAGACAAAGCGAGCCUCACUAGCCAAAUCACACAGGUAAGCCUACCGCACAUCUACAGUACCUUUUUCCAAAGCCAAGAAUCUUUCUCCAAAAAACAAGAUCGCCUUUCAAAGGUUAGAAUAGAGAGGAAGAUUCAACGGCUGCUUGCACGGGUUGAAGUUGAAAACACCGUCUCCUUCACCGAAAACGAUGCUUGGAUACGGAAUACCACUAACGUGGAGGUUCCCAACCACACAAAAAUUCUAUUAGGAUAUGGUCCCAAAUUCGCCUUGCCGUUUGAGAAUAAUCAAGAAAUACCUUAUUUCAAGAUUAUUGCGGAUUUGGAAUCUAUCCUCAAACUUGAGCCGGAUCCGAUUCUUCAAGCGGCCCACCGCAAUCAGUUCACCAACAUCCUUCAAAAUUACGUGAACAAGAGGAAGAAUGGUUGUUUCAACACCACCUCCAACCGCGUUGAACACUUCAUGACCGAAGCGCUUAGCACUAGUAGAAAGUUCAUCCGUGAUCAUCCUGAUGUAUACAUCGUACCCGCUGACAAGGGCAAUAAAACUGUGAUCAUGCUAAAAAACGAAUAUGAAGAGAAGAUGGAUGCACUUGUCAGCGAUGCGAACACAUACGAAAGGAUCGAUACGGAUUGGACUAAUAAAAUACAAACGCACAACAACAAGCUAGUGAAUAAGCUCUUCGACCAGAAGAUGAUCGAUCAACAAACCAGGUCGAAGUUGGUUUCCUACCACGCGACCUGUCCAAAAAUAUACGGGCUCCCUAAAAUACACAAACCGGACAGUCCACUCAGAGUCAUAUUAUCGUGCAUUAAUUGCCCGACAUAUGAUCUGUCCAAGUACCUUGCAGACAUACUACACCGCUCGAUCGACCACGACAAAUACAAUGUGCAAAAUUCAUAUGAGUUCUGCACAUUCAUAAACAAUAUCAACCUGCCUCCAGGCUAUGUAUUGGUCUCGUUCGAUGUGGUAAGCCUGUUUACGUGUAUUCCACGGGACGUUGCGAUAGAAGCGGUGCGAAAGAACUGGAGUAUGAUCGAGAAAAACACCACAAUAAAGAAUGUCGAAAUGUUCAUAGAACUAAUUAAAUUCAAUCUCUCCUCCAGUUAUUUCGUCCACCGUGGCAACUUCUACUGUCAAAAGUCGGGAACGGCAAUGGGUAACCCAUUGUCUCCGGCUCUUGCAGAUUUAGUGAUGGAAACAUUGCUAGAUCACGUGCUUGAAGGGAUUGAUAUUCCUAUUCCAUUUUUGAAAAAGUACGUCGACGAUUUGAUCACCGCUCUCCCAAUCGACAUGAUUGAACAUGUGAGAAAUGCGCUCAACGAGUUCAACUCACACAUUCAAUUUACGUGUGAAAUGGAAAAUAAUAAUCAGCUGCCGUAUCUUGACAUGCUGCUUAUACGCACAGCGCAGCAAAAAAUCGUCACCGACUGGUACAAAAAACCUGUAGCAUCGGGGCGCAUUUUGAAUUAUUUUUCAUUUCACCCUCUCACACAAAAACUAAACACGGCCACUGGCUUUAUUGGGAGAGUGUUCAAGUUGUCGACGUGCAGAUCAGAAAAUGAGAAAAAAGAGUUGGUCCGGGAUUAUCUGCUAAACAACAACUACUCAAGUUCAUUGAUAAAUCGGUUGAUAAACCGAUAUAUCAACAAGAACACAAACACACAUGAGAGUAACAGCAGUACACAUCCCGAACCAAAAAUGUAUCGAUCUCUUCACCACGUAGAGAAGCUCACGCCGGCUCUCGCAAAAGUCAUCAAUAGAAACUUCCCCAACGUUCAACUGGGCUUCAAAUGCGUCAAAACAAACAGACUGUUGUUUUCGAAGCUCAAAGAUGCAACGCCGCAGUUGGAGAAGAGAAAUGUGAUUUACCGCAUUCCCUGCGCCGAUUGCGACUGCGCAUACAUUGGGCUGACUACGCAACAGUUGAAAAACCGUCUCUCUGGGCAUCGGUCUCUCAUUAACCGAUACGCAGAUUUGAAAUCUUCCGACCCGAACAGAGCGACGGAGAGGGAGGAAGAAUUCAAAAAGACGGCGUUGAUGGUCCAUGUGAUUGAAAACGAACACCGAUUCGAUUUACCUGGUACUAAAAUUCUAGAACAGGACAAUCGUCUGAACGCACUUCAAGUUCUUGAAAUGUGUCACAUUUUUUGUGACACCAAAACGGUUAACUAUAGAACCGACACAAGUAAUUUAAGUGUUGUUUACUCGGGUCUUCUGCACUCAAUCACGAACGGAGAAAGAUAGCAGAACAUCAUCACAGCACGCUGUGAUUCUCUGUUUCUGUUAAUGUUUCCGUCCUUUAUGUUCCAUCUUUUCGUUUGACGUCUCCACUCAUAGACAUUUUAAUUCAAACCUGUUUAGAUGUGCCUAGGUGAAAGCUGUGUAAGUUUGUGCUCCGUCCAAUGUUUUAAUUAUUGUAAAAACGAAUCAAGUCAUUAUGUCCGAAAUUUGUAUGUAUAAUUACAGUGUAAUGUUGUUAGCCGUUCCAUCAGUCCAUGUCCAAACCCACUUGACCUAAAAACAACUUUUGAUUUUGCCCUGAAGAUGAGUGAAUAAACGCUCGAAACGUCGGCUUUAAUUAAAACAGUUGUUUUAUAAGCAACCCGAGGACCGAAAAUACGCCAGCAAUCGCUAUCAAAUUAUCAAAGACGGUCGUUAUUUUAU
This is an RNA transcript of Aedes albopictus (Asian tiger mosquito), 3794 nucleotides long. RefSeq lists it as uncharacterized. Lineage: Eukaryota; Metazoa; Arthropoda; Insecta; Diptera; Culicidae. The transcript is spliced from 2 exons. The record is from RefSeq and is a predicted model, not a curated record.